UGGGGAAUAUUGCGCAAUGGGCGGAAGCCUGACGCAGCGACGCCGCGUGGGGGAUGACGGCCUUCGGGUUGUAAACCUCUUUCAGUAGGGACGAAGCGCAAGUGACGGUACCUACAGAAGAAGCACCGGCCAACUACGUGCCAGCAGCCGCGGUAAUACGUAGGGUGCAAGCGUUGUCCGGAAUUAUUGGGCGUAAAGAGCUCGUAGGCGGUCUGUCACGUCGGCUGUGAAAUCCCGAGGCUCAACCUCGGGUCUGCAGUCGAUACGGGCAAACUAGAGUAUUGCAGGGGAGACUGGAAUUCCUGGUGUAGCGGUGAAAUGCGCAGAUAUCAGGAGGAACACCGGUGGCGAAGGCGGGUCUCUGGGCAAUAACUGACGCUGAGGAGCGAAAGCGUGGGGAGCGAACAGGAUUAGAUACCCGCGUAGUCC
Molecule: ribosomal RNA, 429 nt
Filed under: uncultured bacterium
Lineage: Bacteria
Description: bacterial SSU rRNA
Rfam family: Bacterial small subunit ribosomal RNA
Source: RNAcentral